AGAGUUUGAUCAUGGCUCAGAACGAACGCUGGCGGCAUGCCUAACACAUGCAAGUCGAACGUGAUCCAGGCUUCGGUCUGGUGAAAGUGGCAAACGGGUGAGUAACGCGUGGGAACCUGCCCAGAGGUAGGGAAUAACUGCGGGAAACUGCAGCUAAUACCCUAUGUGUCCUGAGGGACAAAGAUUUAUCGCCUUUGGAGGGGCCCGCGUCGGAUUAGGUAGUUGGUGGGGUAACGGCCUACCAAGCCAUCGAUCCGUAGCUGGUCUGAGAGGAUGAUCAGCCACACUGGGACUGAGAUACGGCCCAGACUCCUACGGGAGGCAGCAGUGGGGAAUAUUGGACAAUGGGGGCAACCCUGAUCCAGCAAUGCCGCGUGAGUGAUGAAGGCCUUCGGGUUGUAAAGCUCUUUCGGCGGGGAAGAUGAUGACGGUACCCGCAGAAGAAGCCCCGGCUAACUUCGUGCCAGCAGCCGCGGUAAUACGAAGGGGGCUAGCGUUGUUCGGAAUUACUGGGCGUAAAGGGCGCGUAGGCUGUGCUGUAAGUCAGGCGUGAAAUCCCCGGGCUCAACCUGGGAAUUGCGUUUGAUACUGCGGCGCUGGAAUGCAGGAGAGGAUGGCGGAAUUCCCAGUGUAGAGGUGAAAUUCGUAGAUAUUGGGAAGAACACCGGUGGCGAAGGCGGCCAUCUGGCCUGUAAUUGACGCUGAGGCGCGAAAGCGUGGGGAGCAAACAGGAUUAGAUACCCUAGUAGUCC
RNAcentral lists this ribosomal RNA (752 nucleotides) under uncultured bacterium. RNAcentral describes it as "bacterial SSU rRNA". It matches the Rfam family "Bacterial small subunit ribosomal RNA", at positions 8 to 796 of the family's 1533-position model. The record is from RNAcentral.